AUUGAACGCGGCGGCAUGCUUUACACAUGCAAGUCGGACGGCAGCACAGAGAAGCUUGCUUCUUGGGUGGCGAGUGGCGAACGGGUGAGUAACAUAUCGGAACGUACCGAGCAGUGGGGGAUAACUAAUCGAAAGAUUAGCUAAUACCGCAUAUCUUCUGAGGAAGAAAGCAGGGGACCAUUUGGCCUUGCGCUGUUUGAGCGGCCGAUAUCUGAUUAGCUAGUUGGUGGGGUAAAGGCCUACCAAGGCGACGAUCAGUAGCGGGUCUGAGAGGAUGAUUCGCCACACUGGGACUGAGACACGGCCCAGACUCCUACGGGAGGCAGCAGUGGGGAAUUUUGGACAAUGGGCGCAAGCCUGAUCCAGCCAUGCCGCGUGUCUGAAGAAGGCCUUCGGGUUGUAAAGGACUUUUGUCAGGGAAGAAAAGGGCGGGGUUAAUACCCCUGUCUGAUGACGUACCUGAAGAUAAGCCCCG
RNAcentral lists this ribosomal RNA (475 nucleotides) under Neisseria sicca. RNAcentral's name for it is "bacterial SSU rRNA". It matches the Rfam family "Bacterial small subunit ribosomal RNA", at positions 30 to 495 of the family's 1533-position model. The record is from RNAcentral. Lineage: Bacteria; Pseudomonadati; Pseudomonadota; Betaproteobacteria; Neisseriales; Neisseriaceae.